UUGGGGAAAUGUGUGUGUGUGUGUGUGUGUGUGUGUGUGUGUGUAUGGGGGGGUCUUAAUUGAUUCCGUUAACCGCAGUGCAGGAGAUGUGAACGACUGGACGAUCCCAUUCCCACGCUCGGUGGGGCAAGUGGCAAUGCCAUGCCCGGGCCCAAUAUAUGACAGACACAGCGCCGUGAGGGCCUGCUGGAGGGGCCGGGGGGAUAGGGGGGGAUAGGGGGGGGCGACAGGGGUCAUGAAAAGACGUCAAGUGCACCAGACUCAUCUGCAUCCCAAAAAGAAAAGAGGCGACGUUUUCCCAUGCAGCCCCAAGCCGACGACGCGGCGCUCCUAUAAUAAACUUGGAGUAGUAACGGUCGUGAAUGUCUCGCCAAUUGUGCUGAUAAUGAGGACUUUGGGGUCAUUAUCUUAAAACUAUGCAGGGGUUUAUGAAUUUGAAAGGGGGAUGGUUUUGCUGCUGCAUGCUGCAACAUUAUAAUCCUGCAUGCAUGGGAUCCAGGCUGUUGUUGUAUAUAUAUAUAUAUACACUCCUCCUGAGAAUUAUUAUAGUAGCUAUAAUGUUGCAUUUCAAUAGGGGACGUUUAUGCGCAUUGUUUGCGUUUGAACUUGACCAUGAAGGGAUUUGAGAUCAAGUUUGCUGGAAGGGAAAUUAGUUAUGGGCAUGUAUUAUUUAUAGACAAAAUAUAUAAUAUUGGUGGAUCAGAAUGCACACUUAUAAUUACAUACAUUUUAAUAGGGCCUUCUCAGAUAUUAAAACAAUAUAUUAUUUGAUUAAUGCUUUAAUUAGUAAGUUUUAUAAUAAUAAGAAUUUUGCAGUUAUAGCUGAGUUGCACUUAUUUCGUCAUAAAUAAGUGAUAGUUUCUUUCCAAAACCCCACAGACACAGUUUGGAGAGGCUUUUACGCACCUGGUUUUACCUGUCAGGUGAUGUUCUGUUUCCGGAGCAGACCACGUGAUUAAAACAGGCCCUGAUCGUUUUAAUAACAUGUUUUGACAACUCGAGAAUUCCCUUCGUUCAAGUGAUGGAGAAAGAGAGCUGUGGUGAACUGCAGGCAGCAGGAAGUAGAGGUCAAGACGAGAUCUCUGGGAUUUUGCUCUCUACUGGACCCACGUGAGGUUGGAUGGAGACCUUGUAGAUCAUGACCCAGAAACAAAUGGCAUAAUGGCUGGAGUCUCCAGGCUAAAGACGUCAAGGAUAUUCAGCUGAUCUCAGAGGUAUACCUCCUGAUCGACUAGAGAGGAGCCUGAAUACCAUCAAGAUGGGAGCUUAAAGAUGUCCAUAAAUCUCACAAGCUUCACAUUACUCUUCAACACCUGGACCUGCAGUGUGCUCUUUAUAUCUGUCAACUGGUUAUAAAAGAUUAUUUGGCCAAACUGACAAAUACUGUGAACUUGCACUAAUAAACCAAUUUAUUUAUAUAUAUAUAUAUUUUAUUUUUAUAUGUGAGACUAGAAAAUAAGAUGAAAAUAUUCUUCACAUUGAAACUUGUAUUCAUUUCAUGUAAUUGAUUGAGUCUAACAAGUAUAUUUUUGACAGCUAAAUAAAAGCAUUUUUUUCCCUUUAAGUGAUGUUUUAGUGCGAGUUAUUUCCUCCUCUCUGUGUAGUGCUUUGGCACUCCAGGUAAAGAACAAUGUGCUUGACAUAAUUGGGUCCUAUUUGGUUAUGAAAAGAGCACGCGUGCUGAUAAAAGCUGGCAGGGUGAUCAAAGCGCCACGCGUCCCGAUCAAAAUCCUACACCUGACACAGUUGUAGUUUAUCCUGACAGACUAACGAAAUGUGGGGAAACAGGUUCAGACGGUACCAAGAAGCCUCCCUGUUUAAAAUCGGCUGUGCUGUUUUUGGUGUACUACUGUAUGUCUGUCAAAUCAAACGUACCUGUACGUGCAAAAUCUGGAACAACAAUUAAAUACUAGAAUAAUCCUA
This is a long non-coding RNA of Sebastes umbrosus (honeycomb rockfish), 1923 nucleotides long. RefSeq lists it as uncharacterized. The record is from RefSeq and is a predicted model, not a curated record. The transcript is spliced from 4 exons. NCBI's taxonomy places the organism in Eukaryota, Metazoa, Chordata, Actinopteri, Perciformes, Sebastidae.